UACGUAGGCAGCAAGCGUUGUUCGGAAUUACUGGGCUUAAAGGGUGCGUAGGCGGCGCGGAAAGUUGGGUGUGAAAUCCCUCGGCUCAACCGAGGAACUGCGCCCAAAACUACCGUGCUCGAGGAAGAUAGAGGUGAGCGGAACUUACGGUGGAGCGGUGAAAUGCGUUGAUAUCGUAAGGAACACCCGUGGCGAAAGCGGCUCACUGGGUCUUCUCUGACGCUGAUGCACGAAAGCUAGGGGAGCAAACGGG
This 253-nucleotide ribosomal RNA is filed under the name uncultured bacterium. RNAcentral's name for it is "partial 16S ribosomal RNA". It matches the Rfam family "Bacterial small subunit ribosomal RNA", at positions 524 to 776 of the family's 1533-position model. The record is from RNAcentral.